Molecule: ribosomal RNA, 429 nt
Filed under: uncultured archaeon
Lineage: Archaea
Description: bacterial SSU rRNA
Rfam family: Archaeal small subunit ribosomal RNA
Source: RNAcentral
UACCAGCUCUCCGAGUGGUAGGGAUGAUUAUUGGGCUUAAAGCGUCCGUAGCCGGCUUAGCAAGUCUCCUGUUAAAUUCAGCGACCUAAUCGUUGAGCCGCGGGAGAUACUACUAGGCUAGGAGGCGGGAGAGGUCGACGGUACUUCUGGGGUAGGGGUGAAAUCCUAUAAUCCCGGGAGGACCACCAGUGGCGAAGGCUGUCGACUAGAACGCGCUCGACGGUGAGGGACGAAAGCUGGGGGAGCGAACCGGAUUAGAUACCCGGGUAGUCCCAGCUGUAAACGAUGCGAGCUAGGUGUUGGGGUGGCUACGUGCCACUUCAGUGCCGCAGGGAAGCCAUUAAGCUCGCCGCCUGGGGAGUACGGCCGCAAGGCUGAAACUUAAAGGAAUUGGCGGGGGAGCACCACAAGGCGUGAAGCUUGCGGUUC